AUUGAACGCUGGCGGCAUGCCUUACACAUGCAAGUCGAACGGUAGAGGAGCAAUCCUCGAGAGUGGCGAACGGGUGAGUAAUGCAUCGGAACGUGCCCAGUAAUGGGGGAUAGCCCGGCGAAAGCCGGAUUAAUACCGCAUACGACCUAAGGGUGGAAGAGGGGGAUCGCAAGACCUCUCGUUAUUGGAGCGGCCGAUGUCAGAUUAGGUAGUUGGUGGGGUAAAGGCCUACCAAGCCAACGAUCUGUAGCUGGUCUGAGAGGACGACCAGCCACACUGGGACUGAGACACGGCCCAGACUCCUACGGGAGGCAGCAGUGGGGAAUUUUGGACAAUGGGCGCAAGCCUGAUCCAGCCAUGCCGCGUGCGGGAAGAAGGCCUUCAGGUUGUAAACCGCUUUUGUCAGGGAAGAAAUCUUCUGGGUUAAUACCUCGGGAGGAUGACGGUACCUGAAGAAUAAGCACCGGCUAACUACGUGCCAGCAGCCGCAGUAA
Molecule: ribosomal RNA, 494 nt
Filed under: uncultured bacterium
Lineage: Bacteria
Description: partial 16S ribosomal RNA
Rfam family: Bacterial small subunit ribosomal RNA
Source: RNAcentral